RNAcentral lists this ribosomal RNA (467 nucleotides) under uncultured Pseudomonadota bacterium. RNAcentral's name for it is "bacterial SSU rRNA". It matches the Rfam family "Bacterial small subunit ribosomal RNA", at positions 40 to 502 of the family's 1533-position model. The record is from RNAcentral. Lineage: Bacteria; Pseudomonadati; Pseudomonadota.
CGGUAGGCUUAACACAUGCAAGUCGUGCGAGAAAGUAUCUUCGGAUAUGAGUAGAGCGGCGAACGGGUGAGUAACGCGUAGGAAUGUACCUAGUAGAAGGGGAUAGCCCGAGGAAACUCGGAUUAAUACCGUAUACCUCCUUCGGGAGAAAGAAGGCCUCUCUUUGAAGCUUUCGCUACUAGAUCAGCCUGCGUAAGAUUAGCUUGUUGGUGAGGUAAUGGCUCACCAAGGCUACGAUCUUUAGCUGGUCUGAGAGGACGAUCAGCCACAUUGGGACUGAGACACGGCCCAGACUCCUACGGGAGGCAGCAGUGGGGAAUAUUGGACAAUGGGCGCAAGCCUGAUCCAGCCAUACCGCGUGUGUGAAGAAGGCCUUCGGGUUGUAAAGCACUUUAAGCAGGGAGAAAAAAAUAUAGGUUAAUACCCUAUGUUCUUGAUGUUACCUGCAGAAUAAGCACCGGCUAAUU